This is a long non-coding RNA of Strigops habroptila (Kakapo), 238 nucleotides long. RefSeq lists it as uncharacterized. NCBI's taxonomy places the organism in Eukaryota, Metazoa, Chordata, Aves, Psittaciformes, Psittacidae. The transcript is spliced from 3 exons. The record is from RefSeq and is a predicted model, not a curated record.
CUGGCUGGGGUUAAACCACGACACAGCACCAACUGACUAACCCAUUCUCUAGAAGGCCCCUGUCUAGGUUUUUCUCUCACUCAUCUCUCUUCCUAACAUCAUUCCUCCCCCCUCAACUGCACAUGACAGAUAGUAUUUUUGGCUUCCACUAUUUGAUACUAUAUGCAACUGUAUUUCUUACAUGCUAAAAAAAUAUGCUUGUUCUGUUCCUAAACAAACAAGAUUAAGUAACAACACA